AAAGAAGGACAGAAAUCAAUAAGUGCUGCUAAUACUUAUGCCCCGGGGUUAAAGUCCUCGGCUUCUUUA
This 69-nucleotide transfer RNA is filed under the name Luxilus cornutus (common shiner). RNAcentral's name for it is "tRNA-Ser". Lineage: Eukaryota; Metazoa; Chordata; Actinopteri; Cypriniformes; Leuciscidae. The record is from RNAcentral.